Molecule: long non-coding RNA, 508 nt
Filed under: Elaeis guineensis (African oil palm)
Lineage: Eukaryota; Viridiplantae; Streptophyta; Magnoliopsida; Arecales; Arecaceae
Description: long non-coding RNA (EGUI_LNC030470)
Source: RNAcentral
UCAUAGCUCAGACAGUUGGGGGAGUUUAGAAAAGCAUCGCACCAGCUCGGAAAUUCGGCUGUCGGAGAAAUCCGGAAAAAAUGCCGUACUAAGUCGGAGGGAUCUCGGGAGAGUUGGCCUCUUAUGAACUUCGGCUGGGGGUAUUUUAUACCUAACAGGUCCCAUGAGUAAGGUGUGGUUGGAAGAGCCGAUGGUUAUGUAAGGAUGCUUCUUGGUUCUAUGUGCUUGAAUUAGUAUAUCCAAUUAGCUGGAAUCUUCUAUCUGGGUCAAACACCCUCUUCAGAAUCUUCCUGGGAUCUUGAACCAGCACACACUUCUGGAACACUUCAUUACUAAAAGUGUUUCUAAAGUAUUCCUUUCCUACACCUUCAGCCACUCUCUCACACUCCUGAUUGUCAUUGGCAACGGGUCCUCUAGUUAUUAUGCCAUGCCCUUUUCUUGGCACACCUUAGCUCAGAAUGUUCAACUGUUUGUAAUGUUUAAGUACUCUUGGGAGAUGAUCAAGCAA